This 285-nucleotide ribosomal RNA is filed under the name Chironominae sp. BOLD:ACG9554. Its description in RNAcentral is "partial 18S small subunit ribosomal RNA". It matches the Rfam family "Eukaryotic small subunit ribosomal RNA", at positions 1273 to 1482 of the family's 1831-position model. Lineage: Eukaryota; Metazoa; Arthropoda; Insecta; Diptera; Chironomidae. The record is from RNAcentral.
GCCAGUUGGUGCAUGGCCGUUCUUAGUUCGUGGAAUGAUUUGUCUGGUUAAUUCCGAUAACGAACGUGACUCAAUCAUAUUAACUAGAUACCUAUCAGCUGUUGAAAUGCUGAAGCUGUCAGUGCGGGUGUGUUCUGCAUGCUUUGUGCUUGAUAGUGGAGUUUCACCUGAUAGUUUGGUCCUAACUCUUUCAGGGUUAGUGGCUCUAUCUGCUUAAUAGGACAAUUUGUGUUUAGCAAAAUGAGAUUGAGCAAUAACAGGUCUGUGAUGCCCUUAGAUGGUCAU